This 29-nucleotide small RNA is filed under the name Bombyx mori (domestic silkworm). RNAcentral's name for it is "ovarian small RNA-27329". The record is from RNAcentral. Lineage: Eukaryota; Metazoa; Arthropoda; Insecta; Lepidoptera; Bombycidae.
UCCCGGUUUGUGGUGAGCCUGGUACACUC